Molecule: ribosomal RNA, 301 nt
Filed under: uncultured bacterium
Lineage: Bacteria
Description: partial 16S ribosomal RNA
Rfam family: Bacterial small subunit ribosomal RNA
Source: RNAcentral
CAGCAGCCGCGGUAAUACGGAGGGUGCAAGCGUUAAUCGGAAUUACUGGGCGUAAAGCGCACGCAGGCGGUCUGACAAGUCAGAUGUGAAAUCCCCGGGCUUAACCUGGGAACUGCAUUUGAAACUGUCAGGCUGGAGUCUUGUAGAGGGGGGUAGAAUUCCAGGUGUAGCGGUGAAAUGCGUAGAGAUCUGGAGGAAUACCGGUGGCGAAGGCGGCCCCCUGGACAAAGACUGACGCUCAGGUGCGAAAGCGUGGGGAGCAAACAGGAUUAGAGACCCCUGUAGUCCCUGUCUCUUAUAC